RNAcentral lists this ribosomal RNA (450 nucleotides) under uncultured bacterium. RNAcentral describes it as "bacterial SSU rRNA". It matches the Rfam family "Bacterial small subunit ribosomal RNA", at positions 28 to 497 of the family's 1533-position model. The record is from RNAcentral.
GACGAACGCUGGCGGCGUGCUUAACACAUGCAAGUCGAACGGUGAAGGGAAGCUUGCUUCCCGGAUCAGUGGCGAACGGGUGAGUAACACGUGGGCAAUCUGCCCCAGACUUUGGGAUAACUACUCGAAAGAGUAGCUAAUACCGAAUAUUCAGCCUUGCAGGCAUCUGCGAGGCUGGAAAGUUUCUCGGUCUGGGAUGAGCCCGCGGCCUAUCAGCUAGUUGGUGAGGUAAUGGCUCACCAAGGCGACGACGGGUAGCCGGCCUGAGAGGGCGACCGGCCACACUGGGACUGAGACACGGCCCAGACUCCUACGGGAGGCAGCAGUGGGGAAUAUUGCGCAAUGGGCGAAAGCCUGACGCAGCAACGCCGCGUGCGGGAUGAAGGCCUCGGUUGUAACCGCUUCUAGCAGGAGAAGCGAAGUGACGGUACCUGCAGAAGAAGCACCGGC